AGAAUUCAAUUGAACUAUUGAUAUCUCCGAGCCGUACAUCUUAACCUCUUCGAGGUUCAUUUGUUUGCUUUUGAGUUUCCUUUUCCCUGCUAUUGAACCUCGACAAAUUGAGUUCUAAAUCUACUUUAUGUUGACGAUCUUUCCACGUUCUUGUUGAAAGGCAAUUACCUUUCAUGUAUUCUUGUGGUGGUUAUGUUUGGAUGUUAGAGAUUCAUACGCUAAAUGUAAUACGAAAAUAUCCAUGUUUUGUUUCGCAUGAAAUUAAAUUCAUGGUGUGAAACUUUCUAACGAAAGUUAAUGGACAGAUGUAUAUUAAUCGAUAUCGUUAGAAAUUAUUUUAGAAAUACAAUCAGUAUAUUGAUUUGACAAUUUUUUAUUUUUUUUGGAAAUUUGAUUUGACGAAGUAUGUUAAUCUAUAAUCUAUAUCUAUGACGUAUUGUAAAGUAUGGAUGUUCGAGAACCAUUUUUUGACGAUAAUAAUGUUCUUAAUCAUAUUUUUAAACUUCGCGAUUUACCUGUCAUUCUAUGCUAUUAAAAAAUUAAUUUUAUCUUACAACUACUUAUUUUUUACAGAAAAAAAUUUAUUUAUUCAAAUACGCAGUAACAAUGAAAGAUAAAGAUGCAUUCAAUUGGAAAGUCGAAUUAAUAAACGAGGUUGCCAAAGGGUAAAGAACAUAAUAGAUUUAGAAGUAUUUACUUUGUUGAUCUGUUUAAUUCUCCACGUGCAAUGUAUAAAUGGGGAGUCUUUACUUGACGUUCCUCUCCCCCUCAUUCAACACUUCCUUCUUUACAAGACAGGAAAAUAUAACAUGAAAAAUCAUCUAAAUGAUCGUACAUUUUCAACAAUCUCGAGUUCCCAGCCAUUGCCUUGACAAAUAAUCGAAAGUAGAAAGUGCAUUACGGAAAAUAUGCCACACAAAUAUUCAAAUUUCUUGAGGAACUUGGGAGUUCGAUCUCUUCCAUCCAGUUGUAGAGAAAGUAAGCCUGACCACUUGGAUACAACUUAUAAUUAUUAGGAAAAUAUGAUACAUGAAUUUUAGCUUAUUUAUUAAAAAGAGAGUAAUUGAGACUCUAAAAUAUUCUAACAUAUAUAAAUAAGAUUUUAAUUAAAAAAAUUACUCUUAAAUUUGUGAUUAUAAUUUAUAUCAAUGCCAUUUUAAAAAAAAAAAUGUUGUCUUGUGAUUACAGCUCGCACUGCUAUGUGUACAUUAAGAUUUAUAUAAUGUCACGUAACAUUAUAUCCUUUAUUAGUUUAAAAUAUAAUCAAUUUUUUUAUCUAAUAUUUUCCCUCCCACACCAUAUUUUGUAAUCCGUUAUGUACAUUUUUUUUAUGUAUAAGUAGCAAAAGAAGAAAUUACACCGUAAGUGGUAUUUAAAGAUGACGCUUCUAAAAUCAGGUAUUAAGUUUAUUUGAGCAUAAAUUAGGUAUUAAUGAAACCAUAUUGUAGUCUCUCUCAUAUCUCCCUUUCCCAUUCUUGCACUGUCAUCAUCGAAGCUCCGACAUAAGGUUGUGCAUAAUGACGUUUUGAUCGAGGCCAGUCACUUAUGGGUUUGGGCUUGGAGUGAUUCAAAUCAAUGUUUAGAUCGUUGUUGCUGUUUAUAGAGGCCCAUCUUGAAUCAAGGUAGCUGUUUAGAGAUAUGGGGUUAUUCUAGAUUUCUGGUUUAUUGUUGUUGUUGUUGUUGUUGUUGGCGGUGGCGGUGUUGUGAAAAUGAUGGUGGUUGAGGUGGUUUUUGGUUGUUUAUGAGUGAUGAUGGAGGUGAUUGUUCAAGUGAUAAUAACAGUAGUGGUUUUGUCAGUUGUAUUACAUGAGGCAUUGGUUUUGGUGAACAUGGGAUGAGGUGCUUGAAGUGGUGGUUGGAUGUGGUUUUUGUGAAGGUUUGACGGCAAUUUUGUGGUGAUUUUUAUGAUGUUUUGACGUUGGUGAUUAACUUGGUUGUUGGUUGUGGUGGAUCAAUGUCCAUUGUUGGUGAUGGCAGAGGUAAGCAUGUCAUAGUCGAUUGAGUUUUUAUGACUAAAUAUCUUGAAUAUGUGACCUAUCAAAGUACACGGGUUAUAUGUCAAAGUGUAUAGGUUACAAGUCACAAAUACAAGAAAUUUGGUUACAGACCAUUUGGACUAUGUCACAUAUUGAAGAGAUUUGAAGAUUUGUUCGCCUGCCAUUGGAUCAAGUCAAUGACACAUGUAACAGGGCACAUGUCGAAGUGUAUAGAUCAUAGGUCAUGGAUUCAAAUGAUUUGGUCACAAACCAUUACUUCAGGUUACAUGUCACGAAUCCAAGAGAUUUGGUUAUAGGUCAUUGGAUCAAGUUAUAGGUCAUAUGUCGAAGUGUAUAGGUAGGGAUGUCAAACGGGUCGAACGGCUCAUCGGCUCGGCUGCUCGGCUCGUCAAAACCCGGCUCGUGGGCGGCUCAGGUUUGUCAUUUGCCGAGCAGGGGGCUCAAUCCCACGAGCCGAGCCUGCUCGGCUAGUCAAACCCACGAGUGGCUCGUGGGCACACGGCUCGUGGGCUCGUUAAAAAAUAUUAAUUUUUUUUAAAAAAAAUGUUGACUCGUGGGCUCGUCAAAAAAUAUUAAUUUUUUUUAAAAAAAUGUCCAAAAUGUGCAAGUUACCAAAAAAAAUUAAAAAAAAUCACGAGCUCACGAGUCGCUCGUGAGCUCGGCUGGGCCAGCGAGCUCGUGAGCCAAGCCGAGCUCGUGGGUUAAAGGGUCGAGCCGGCUCGGUCCAUUGCCAUCAUUAUGUAUAGGUCACGUGUCACAAAUUCAAGAAAUCUAGUCAUAUACCAUUGAUUUUUCUGACCUUAGUUACUCAAGCUGGUCACAAAUUCAAUUAAUCAAAUUUUGACGAUGAGAAUUUAAGUUAUUUACUCUAUUAAGUGCUUUAUAAAUUGUAUCAAGAGUUGUUUUUCAUUUUUCAAUUAAAAAACGCUGUAAAUUAUACAAGUACUGCUCAAUCCUAGUCACCAAUGAACUCAGUCAUCACUGAGCGACGAUCAAUUUGUUGCUAAAUAAGUGGCCGAUAGGGUGAAGGUUGGAGGGUGUCGCCAACGAGUGGGAUCGUGAGCGGUUGGGAUGGGUGGGGGUAGAAUAAUUUAAUUUGAUAAUAUUAUUAUUUAAAAUUAAAAAAAUAAAAGUAAGACUUUUACAUUUUGAAACUUAAUCUCUAAUAUUUGAUUUAGUGCAUACUUAAUGGUUGAGAUGUGAUUUUUUCUCGCAGCAAAAUUACAAAGUAGGUAGACAAAGUUUGUUGACAAGAUGUAGAUCAUUAAUUUAUUUUGAUUUAAAAAUUUGAUUUUGAAAUGAGUUAUAUAGAUUUUGUCAACUCAUAUUUUGUCAACCUCAUUGACAUAGCACCACUCUAAAAUAAUGACUCGCCUGCUAAAGGUGCGAACCGUCUUAUAGAAUUACGACCGAGUUAAUGACUGGACCGGCUAGGGUUAACAAUGCUCUGAACAUUCGGAAACAGGAAAACUCUACUGUCUACUGGAAGUUUCCCGCUUAGGUAUUCUGCAACAAAGUUUUUAUUUUCUUCGUUCAAUUAUGUUCAUUAGAUCUCUUGUUUUUAUCAGUGAAAAUUUUGUUCAUGUUAAACACUGGUUAAGGCUUCUUCGAUUUUUUUUUUUAAGGUGCGAACCGUCUUAUAGAAUUACGACCGAGUUAAUGACUGGACCGGCUAGGGUUAACAAUGCUCUGAACAUUCGGAAACAGGAAAACUCUACUGUCUACUGGAAGUUUCCCGCUUAGGUAUUCUGCAACAAAGUUUUUAUUUUCUUCGUUCAAUUAUGUUCAUUAGAUCUCUUGUUUUUAUCAGUGAAAAUUUUGUUCAUGUUAAACACUGGUUAAGGCUUCUUCGAUUUUUUUUUUUAAUAUUUUUAUUUAGACUGAUUGAUAUUUAAUCAUUGAUGAAUAUUUGGAUUCCAGAAAAUCAUUAACGGAUAUUUGGAUUCUAUAUUCACUUUUCAACUUCUGUUCCCAUGGCGGUAUGUAGAUGCUUACUUCACUUUGAGUGGUUGGUUAUUCAUUUUCUGUGAACUUGCGAUAAUAAUGUGAUUUGAUUGUGUAGGUAGAAAGACUUUUCAAAAAUGAAGCUACCGAAGAAAAGGGUGAGCGAGCCAGAAUGGUGAGUCUUGUAUAAUAUAAUAAAAUAAAUCAUUUUGAAACAUUUUGUUAAUGGCGCUUUAUUAGUAGAAAAUUAGAUAUGAAUCACGGUGGACUGGCUUGUUUCUAGACUGACAAUUGUUUUUUGUGGGUGUUAAUAUAAGGCCUCCUUUAUUGGAGCAAUGGCGAUUGCUGACUUGGUGAAGACAACCUUGGGGCCUAAGGGGAUGGUAAAAUUGCUUGUUCUUCUGAUUACGUGUAUCGAUUGUCGAUAUUUUUCUUUGUUUACUCUCUGUGUAACUUCCCUUUGUAGGAUAAAAUUUUACAAUCAACUGGCAGAGGGCACAGUGUUACAGUUACGAAUGAUGGUGCCACCAUCCUAAAGUCUCUACAUAUUGACAACCCUGCUGCCAAAGUCCUUGUGGGUAUCCUUGAUGUUAAGUUAUUGUUGUGUUUCUUUGCUUCACCAUUUAAGGAAUAUGAUUUUUACCAUGAAAAAACUAACUUCUAUUGCUAUGUGUAAUGGUGGAUUUUGAAGCUUGAGCUGUUGAAUGUUACUUACACGAUAUAGGUCACAAUCCUAAAAAUGUUGGUGUUCAAGUGUUAUUUUCAAGUAUUCAAGUAUCUGCAGUCUAAAAUUACUCUUGUAUGAAAAUUGAACAUGGCAAGCUGAUUUGAUUCUUCAUUUCUUCUCAAAUCAGAUUUGUCCAGAAGCUAAAACUAUAGUAGUAGUCUGUAUAGCUAUUGUAUUAGCAACUAGCAAGCCUUGAUUCUAUUGUCAGACAUCUCAAAAGUCCAAGAUGAUGAAGUCGGCGAUGGAACCACUUCAGUUGUUGUCUUGGCUGGGGAGCUUUUGAGGGAGGCGGAGAAGCUGGUAAAUUCAAAAAUCCAUCCGAUGACAAUUAUUGCAGGUAAGUUCUAUGUUUUUUUUUAAUGAUCUUAUUUCUGAUUUCACCUUUCUUACUCAUUAUUUCGUGUGUGCUAUUUCCAUAGUGGUGGCAGGCACUUCAGGUUCUAUAAACUUCAUCAAUAUGAAAGAUAAACUAGCACAAGUUUAAUAUUGAUAUGAUAAUUACAGUUUCAUUUCCCCUGCUUUGUAUCUCUCUCUUUAAUCACCUUUCUACUUUUGCAAUGAUGGAAUUAGUGAGUUUCUUGGAGUUGACAACAAAUUUCUUUGCACAACAUUAGGGAUAGUUGAUUCUUUGUUAACUGUUGGUAUGUUUAUUUAUGCGAUAUAAAUAUGAUAUCCUGUCAUUCUUAGAUCCUAUGAAGGUAUAUUUGAUUGGAAUUGUUCUAAGUUUUUUGAAAUAAUUACUAUAUACACAACAUUUUCAGGAUAUCGUAUGGCAGCUGAAGCUGCUAGGAACGCGUUGCUGGAAAAGGUUAUGGAUAAUAAACAGGAUGCUGGUAAUUAGUAUCUACUUCUCAUUCUCACUUUUGAAUUUGGUAUUUGCCCCUGAUAUAAGUAUCAUGAUUGCUGGUUCAUCAAUUCUGAUAGCUUGUUGCUCCCUAUUUAACUCAAAUCUGUUUCAUAAUCAUAUGUUUUUUUAAUUCAUAAAAGUCUAUUCCAUAUGAUUGUACACUUACUAGAAUAAUUCUCCAUUUGGCCUAUCUAGAAGUUUUCGUUUCUUGAUGUAAUGCUAUUAUCCUUUACAUUUUCUAACUGGCUUCACAUGGAAAUCACCGGCAGAUUGCAUUGUUAAGUGGAAAAUGAUUCACUAUACUUUUAAGCAAUUAAUUGGUCUAAAAUGAAAAGGUGAUAAGUUUUAUAAACUAUGGAUUUAACUUGAAUGUAUGAUUUAUUAGUUGAAUUUUGAUAUGAUGGCAUUGACAUGUCUAAUGUUCAUCCUUGGUGAUCUUGCAGAUAAAUUCAAAGAAGACUUAUUAAAGAUAGCAAUGACCACUUUGAGUUCCAAAAUUCUCUCUCAGGACAAAGAACAUUUUGCAACACUAGCUGUCGAUGCAGUUAUGAGGCUAAAGGUAAAGUUAUUUGCUCUUAGUUACUUGUGAAUUUGAUGCCUUGAGUGUGUUACAUAGGCUAUUUUGUCAUACCUGUCUAUUCUUGUCUCCUGGUAAUAGUAAUUUAGCUAUUAAAAAUGGUUGGAAACUUCUGAAACUGAUGAAAAGAUUUUAGCUGCAUUUACUGAUGGAUGCUGGACAACUUUGUGAGUUCUAAAUUUGUUCUGAUCAAAUGAAUACCAAUAUACCAUUGCAUAACAUCAGUGUGGGACAUCUUGGGUGUGAUUCUCUUCAAGCAUUUACAGACACUAAGGGUCCCUUUGAUUGUAAAGAUGAAAUUUGGGUGGAAAAAACGAAUUCCGGGGAAUUGAAUUGCCUAGAAAUUGUUUUUCUGAGAAUUGUAAAUUAUUGUGUUUGAUUGGUAUAAUUUUUCACGUGAAAAAUGUUGAAAUAAAAGUGUUUUUUGGUGUUUGUUUGGCUUUGUUUUACAUGAAAUUUGUCAAUUGCCUUCCAAUGUAAAAAUGCUGUGCCUUCUGAUUUUAAAGCUAUUCCAGACUUUGUCUUGACUUUUCAGUCUUUUAGUGUUGUAAAUUGCGUAGUUUUUACUAUCCCAGCAAAUGUUGCCUUGUUUCUUUCACAGAAAAUGUUGGUCAGACAACUGGUUUUAAAUAAUAGAAGUAAUUGUUCUGAAAGUAGACACUGGGCUAAGCUUAAUUUGGUUUUCUAAUGUGUGAAGUAAUUUGUGCAGUUCUACAUUUUUUUUAAUAUAUAAUUUGGGUUUAGUUUCUGAAGCUAUGUAUAACACUUCUAUGCUUACUGUAUGCACACGACACUUUUGAUUGAUUAAGUUCUCUUCUGAAUAUCUCAUCCAACAGAUUGAACUUGAACGAGUGGUUCAGAGGAUUGAAAACCAAAAUUCAGCUGGAGAAAUUUUCCACUCUAUGGUUGAAAGUGCAUUGCAUCAAUAUGGUCGUGGCAGUGCUGAUCUUGUAACUGAAUUGUGCAGUGAAGGCAGGCUUUCACAUGUAAGAAUUAUGUCUUUCACUAUUGGUGAAGUGAAGGGAUAUUUGCAUUUAUGUGUCUUUCUUUUUGGUGACUUGCAGGAGUUCAUGCAAAUGCUCAGUCAUGACAUUUCCCAAAGACUUAAAGAUGAAGCAGGAUCAUAGGCAAAAGAAUUUCUGUUCUUUUACAUGUGAUAUGAAUGUACUUCAAGUAGUUGGGUUACUACAUGAGUGCAAAAUUUCUUAGUACGUUGUGAUUUUUGCCUGUGGUUGAUUGCUAAAAUAUAGUUACUAGAAUGUUGUGUUCUCUUUGAGAGUACGAAGAGCUGUGCAGUUGUGGAUCAAUGAAUUGACACAGAUCAUGGUUCAUUUGUAAGAGAAUUCAAUUGGACUAUUGAUAUCUCCGAGCCGUACAUCUUAACCUCUUCGAGGUUCAUUUGCUUGCUUUUGAGUUUCCUUUUCCCUGCUAUUGAACCUCGACAAAUUGAGUUCUAAAUCUGCUUUAUGUUGAUAAUCUUUCCACGAUCUUGUUGAAAGGCGAUGCCUUUCAUAAAUUUUUGUGGUGGUUAUGUUUGGAUGUUAGAGAUUCAUACGCUAAAUGUAAUACGAAAAUAUCCAUGUUUUGUUUCGCAUGAAAUUAAAUUCAUGGUGUGAAACUUUCUAACGAA
This 7722-nucleotide long non-coding RNA is filed under the name Olea europaea (common olive). RNAcentral's name for it is "long non-coding RNA (OEUR_LNC002700)". Lineage: Eukaryota; Viridiplantae; Streptophyta; Magnoliopsida; Lamiales; Oleaceae. The record is from RNAcentral.